AUCGUGCCAACGACGUUGUGCAGUCAACACCGGUACUCUUCUCCUGUCAAACUGUUAAUCGACUACGACGUUGGCCGACGCGUUUCUGAGUACCGCUGUCAACACGUUACGAUUCUCGACGGUUCGGCAGCGCGUAAUGGACCACCCUAACCCUUUCUGAAAUCAGCGUUCGGUAUUGCAAGCACGAAACUCGUGGACGCGUGAGACUGGCCCCAGUAGAAUAAAUGGAGGAAACAAUAAUUAACACUGUAUCGCUUAGAGAUAUAGUUCUCAGGGAUCGAGGGUACGUUCAACAAAACUAAUUGGAACAAAUUGGGCUCACCGAGAACGCCGCUUUCCGUUCGCUUUAUCCUUCUGGCGUUUCUCCUUGUACACAACUUCUCCCCGAAGUGAAAGGAAACAGUUGGAAACAGAGACGUGGGAAUGGAAUUGACGUAUAAAUCCAAGUUCAUCGAGGUAUUAAGGGUUAAACUAUCGAGCAAUAUGAGUCGCGACGCAAGGUGGCCCUCCCUCCCAGAGCAAUUAUUCCAGCCUUGACGGGUCGAAGAGUCGAUUAAAUCGACGAUACACAACGGAACGGUCCGUUAAACGUACCGUGAGAUUAUUCAAUUAAAACUUCGUUCCACGGUUAAUAAAAUCGUGGAGCCUGGGUAAUUGCGGAGAGAUCUGGAUUAUAAUUUCUGAUGAGGGUGGUCGCUGUUUCCCUCUUCAAAUGCGUUCUUGGGAUCGACAAAUGACGAUCGCUGAUUUGCAUUUAGUCCGGGAAGCGCAAAUGAACAAUGUUUGUCGGAUAAUCGAGUUCGGAAGUCGGUGCUUCAGGGGUGGGUGGGUGCGAGUAUAAAUAUUCAGUGAUCGAAGGGUGCGUUGGCUUGUACAUAUAUUCCAUGAUAUUUACGGAGUGGAUUUUUUAAAAAAUUAUUACAAAACUAAGAAGGUGGGUAAUUCAAUAUCGAAGGGUGAGGAGGUAUAAUUUUUUAAAGGUGCUUCAAUGAAAUUAACUGUGUGAGCUUAGGCAAAACUCGUCCUAAUUUUUAUGUGAUAUGUUAUAAAUUACAUUCUCUAAAUUAAUAUGUUAAAAGAAGUGGAUAUUCUUUCACAGUAUUUGACAAUAAUAAAAUUCCACGUAUCUCGUAGAACUUAACGCGUUCCCUGUCUAUCAAACCGCACAUGGCACACGUAUUUCUCAAGCCUGUGAUUGUACUAAAUAUAAUACUGUUUCUCUAAUCGGUGACGUAUGUAUGUAUAUAUCGAAACGACU
Hylaeus anthracinus is the source of this 1258-nucleotide long non-coding RNA. RefSeq lists it as uncharacterized. The transcript has 3 exons. The record is from RefSeq and is a predicted model, not a curated record. NCBI's taxonomy places the organism in Eukaryota, Metazoa, Arthropoda, Insecta, Hymenoptera, Colletidae.